UACAGAGGUCUCAACCGUUGUUCGGAUUCAUUGGGCGUAAAGGGUGCGUAGGCGGUCGCGUAAGUCAGGUGUGAAAUCUUAGGGCUCAACCCUGAAACUGCACUUGAUACUGCGUGGCUCGGGUACUGGAGAGGAGACUGGAAUUUACGGUGUAGCAGUGAAAUGCGUAGAUAUCGUAAGGAAGACCAGUGGCGAAGGCGAGUCUCUGGACAGUUACCGACGCUGAGGCACGAAGGUCAGGGGAGCAAACGGG
This 253-nucleotide ribosomal RNA is filed under the name uncultured bacterium. RNAcentral's name for it is "partial 16S ribosomal RNA". It matches the Rfam family "Bacterial small subunit ribosomal RNA", at positions 524 to 776 of the family's 1533-position model. The record is from RNAcentral.